Molecule: non-coding RNA, 45 nt
Organism: Schistosoma haematobium
Lineage: Eukaryota; Metazoa; Platyhelminthes; Trematoda; Strigeidida; Schistosomatidae
Source: Rfam
ACCUAGUUGAAGAGAUCCAAAUAAGACGAAACACGCGUCCUGGAU